This is a long non-coding RNA of Mercenaria mercenaria, 3051 nucleotides long. RefSeq lists it as uncharacterized. Lineage: Eukaryota; Metazoa; Mollusca; Bivalvia; Venerida; Veneridae. The transcript has 2 exons. The record is from RefSeq and is a predicted model, not a curated record.
ACAGCCUGUCAAGUUAUAUGAUGUACUAUAUGAUUUCUAUCUUUGCCUUGAGUAUAAUACAGCUUAUAUUGGUUGUUUAGUGUCGAAAAUUUUAGUUGACACUUCUGUAUGUAUAUUUAUGUAUGUUCUGUUAUUCACAUAUUUGCAGUUAUUUGCAUUUUGCCAUUGUUGCUGAUUUUCUGUGGUAAAAAAAAUGUUUUGGAUAAAAUAAGCAAUCAUCUUGAAAUAAUAUAAUAAAGAAUAUAACUAAUAUCAGCUUUAUUUUAAACUAUUUAAGUCUUGCUUUUUUAUGAGAUAUUGGAAUUGUUGGAUGUCCAUUGACCAUGCUUCCACAGUUUCUAUAAGAACAUUUCAUAAUGAAUCACCAAGCUAAUUUCAACCAAACCUCACAGAAAUGUUUUUUUGCAGUCCUCUUAUUUAGGUCAUCCAUGCAAUCUAGUUGUCAUGAUAACCAAAAGAAAAAGGCCUCUCCUCAGAAAUCUCUGGCUGGCUUUCUAAAUAAAUUCAUAGCAAUUUUCUUUUAUAACCUAACAUUUUCCUUUGAUUUUUUUAUUUGUUUAAAAAAAAUAGUCUGCCAAGAGGAAGGGCUAGUUUUUAGCUCACCUGAGCCAAAGGCUCAUGGUGAGCUUUUGUGACCGGUCAAUGUCUGUAUGCAGCUUGCAGCCAUCAACAAUUUCUAAAAAUCUUCUUGAAAACCACUGGGCAGAAUUAUACCAGACUUCACAGGAAUGAUCCUUGGGUGGCCCCCUUUCAAAAUUGUUCAAAGAAUUGAAUUACAUUUAGAACUUUGGUUGCCAUGGCAACCGAAAGGAAAAACUUAAAAAAUCUUCUUGUCUAAAACCACAAGGCCUAGGCCUUUGAUAUUUGGAUGUUGCAUUGCCUUGUGGUCCUCUACUAAACUUGUUCAAAUUAUAACCCUGGGGUGAAAAGAGGCCCCACCCUGGGGGUCACAAGUUUUACAUAGACUUAUAUAGGAAAAAACUUUAAAAAUCUUCUUGUCUGAAAGCAAAAUUGUUCAAAUGAUAACCCUGAUGUGAAAAGAGGCCCAGCCCUGGGGGGUCUCAAGUUUUACAUAGACUUAUAUAGGAAAAAACUUUAAAAAUCUUCUUGCCUUAAACUGCAAGGCCUAGGCUUUUGAUAUUUGGUAUGUUGCAUUGCCUUGUGGUCCUCUACCAAAAUUGUUCAAAUUAUGCCCCUUGGGUUUAAAGAGGCCCUGCCCUGGGGGUCCCAAAUUAAACAUAGACUUAUGUAGGGACAAAAAAUCUUCUUGUCUGAAAGUUCAAGGCCUAGGCCUUUCAUAUUUGAUAUGUAGCAUGGCCUAGUGGAUUUCUAACAAGAUUCUUCAAAUUAUGCCCCUGGGGUGAAAAGAGGCACUGCCCUGGAGGUCACUUGUUAUAUGAGUUAUAUAGGAAUAAAUACUUAAAAAAUUAUCAGAUCAUAUUUCCUAGACUGUUUAAUUAUAAUUACCUGAUGACAACAAGCGAUUAGGGGGUCACUUGACUGUGACUUUGACCUACUGACCUACUUUCUUGUUUUUUUAAGAUACAGCCUUGAAAUUUGGAUAUCUUGUACAGUUUUGCACAUUGAUCUUAAAACUGACUUUCAGUGACCAUGAAUGUGACCUACUUUCUAAUAUUUUAGCAUCAGUGUGCCAUUUUAAACAUGUGGCUCAUAUUACUCAGGUGAGCGAUUCAGGGUCAUCAUGACCCUCUUGUUUUCUAUAUAGUUAUAUAGAAAAGUUUGAAAAUCUCUUAAACCACAGUUUCCAUUUCAAAAUAAUUUUACUGAAAUUUACCUUACAUUUAUGGUUUUUGAAUUACUGAAAAUUGUUGAAUUUUGAAUCAUAUGAUAGUAAUUUAUUUCCAAAUCAGUUAUUUCGAAAUGAUGCUCUCCAAAGAAUUACAACACAGCCACAGAAUUAAAAUUCCAUUUGUAAACACAGGUGCUAGUUUAAAGUAAUUUGCUAUGAUGGGCAUAUAUUGUGACAUUCUAGCACUCUUGUUUAUAUAUAUAGUGAAAAUUUUGAGAAUCUUCUUGUCAUUUUUCAUUUCAAAAUAUUCCUUAGGUAACCCUCUAACAAUAUCCCUUAAGGGAAGCAAUGGUUUUCUGCCACUCAGCCUGAGGGUCGUGGGUACCCACUGGGGUCACAAUCAUGCCUUCUCAGAUUAUAUCAAUACUGGUUUUUCUAGGAACUAUACUCGAGAAUGGUUCAAAUACUGGUAAUUAAGCUUAAAGCUUUCAUCACAGUUGAGCUAAAAUAAAUUAGAACAAACUAAAUUACAAUUUCCCCUUAAUUGUUUUGUCAAAAAUACAGCCACACCAGUGCUACCUUUAAACAACUUCUCAUGAAGAAAUUGAUGGAUCUUUCCCAAACUUUCUCUGUGGCAUCCUGGUAUGGUCGUCUCUCAAGUUUGUUCAGUUGGUCGCAGCUAGAGCUACAAGUAGAAAAAUACUUUUAAACAACUUUUAAUAAACCACUGUUCUAAUGUUGGAUGAACCUUUCUCAGUUUUAUUUUAAACAUUAAUGAGCCAUGUUAUGGGAAAACCAACAUAGCUGGUCUGGACCCAUGCUGUCGCAAAGCCACUAUGUUGGUUUUCCCAUGGCACGGCUCAUUUCAUCUUGACUGAAGAUAGGGACUGUCAGAGCUUGAAAAAUAGAACAAUCCUUAAACAACUUCUUCUCAUGAACUUGAUGGACCAAUUCUGGCUAGACCUCUAGCAAGUUUGCUUUAUUGGUUAAGCAUUUUAGGGCCAUCAAAGCAAAUCAAUAAAAAAAAGAUUGAAAAAGUUUAACAUUACUUUUAAUGAACUGCUUCCUGGACAUUCACCAGACUUGACCAAAAGCAAAGUCAAAAUAUCAAAGUUAUCAUGUGAGCAACUUAUGCCCAUUUGAGUCUCUUGUUUCAAAAACAUUUUAAAUUAUUUAUAAUCAUUUUGAUAUACUGUGUGAAUAACUUGAAGCUUUGAAGUAUCGACCAAAAUAAAGCAUAUUUUUGAAAUGGCACAGAUGUGUUUAAUACAAUUUGCAAGACCACAAGUUGGCCAUGUUUU